Molecule: ribosomal RNA, 497 nt
Filed under: uncultured bacterium
Lineage: Bacteria
Description: partial 16S ribosomal RNA
Rfam family: Bacterial small subunit ribosomal RNA
Source: RNAcentral
GAUGAACGCUGGCGGCGUGCCUAAUACAUGCAAGUCGAGCGAACAGACGAGGAGCUUGCUCCUCUGACGUUAGCGGCGGACGGGUGAGUAACACGUGUAUAACCUACCUAUCAUACUGGUAUAACUUCGGGAAACCGGAGCUAAUACCGGAUAAUAUAUUGAACCGCAUGGUUCAAUAGUGAAAGACGGUUUUGCUGUCACUUAUAGAUGGAUCCGCGCCGCAUUAGAUAGUUGGUAAGGUAACGGCUUACCAAGGCAACGAUGCGUAGCCGAACUAAGAGGGUGAUAGGCCACACUGGAACUGAGACACGGUCCAGACGACUACGGGAGGCAGCAGUAGGGAAUCUUACGCAAUGGGCGAAAGCAUGACGGAGCAACGCCGAGUGAGUGAUGAAGGUGUUCGGAUCGUAAAACUCUGUUAUUAGGGAAGAACAAAUGUGUAAGUAACUAUGGACGUCUUGACGGUAACUAAUCAGAAAGCAACGGCUAACUACGUG